GUAUAACUUAGUGGCAGACGGGUGAGUAAUGUAUAGGAAUCUACCUAGUAGUACGGAAUAAUUGUUGGAAACGGCAACUAAUACCGUAUACGCCCUACGGGGGAAAAAUUUAUUGCUAUUAGAUGAGCCUAUAUUAGAUUAGCUAGUUGGUGGAGUAAUAGCCUACCAAGGCAAUGAUCUAUAGCUGAUCUGAGAGGAUGAUCAGCCACACUGGAACUGAGAUACGGUCCAGACUCCUACGGGAGGCAGCAGUGGGGAAUAUUGGACAAUGGGCGAAAGCCUGAUCCAGCCAUGCCGCAUGAGUGAAGAAGGCCUUUGGGUUGUAAAGCUCUUUUAGUGAGGAAGAUAAUGACGGUACUCACAGAAGAAGUCCUGGCUAACUCCGUGCCAGCAGCCGCGGUAAUACGGAGAGGGCUAGCGUUAUUCGGAAUUAUUGGGCGUAAAGGGCGCGUAGGCGGAUUAGUAAGUUAAAAGUGAAAUCCCAAGGCUCAACCUUGGAAUUGCUUUUAAAACUGCUAAUCUAGAGAUUGAAAGAGGAUAGAGGAAUUCCUAGUGUAGAGGUGAAAUUCGUAAAUAUUAGGAGGAACACCAGUGGCGAAGGCGUCUAUCUGGUUCAAAUCUGACGCUGAGGCGCGAAGGCGUGGGGAGCAAACAGGAUUAGAUACCCUGGUAGUCCACGCUGUAAACGAUGAAUGUUAAAUAUGGGAAGUUUACUUUCUGUAUUACAGCUAACGCGUUAAACAUUCCGCCUGGGGACUACGGUCGCAAGAUUAAAACUCAAAGGAAUUGACGGGGACCCGCACAAGCGGUGGAGCAUGUGGUUUAAUUCGAUGCAACGCGAAAA
RNAcentral lists this ribosomal RNA (844 nucleotides) under Wolbachia sp. Dca. RNAcentral's name for it is "bacterial SSU rRNA". It matches the Rfam family "Bacterial small subunit ribosomal RNA", at positions 85 to 967 of the family's 1533-position model. Lineage: Bacteria; Pseudomonadati; Pseudomonadota; Alphaproteobacteria; Rickettsiales; Anaplasmataceae. The record is from RNAcentral. RNAcentral also lists the same sequence under 3 other names.